CGGCGGACGGGUGAGUAACGCGUGGGUAACCUGCCUCAUACAGGGGGAUAACAGUUGGAAACGGCUGCUAAUACCGCAUAGCGCACAGUACCGCAUGGUACGGUGUGAAAAACUCCGGUGGUAUGAGAUGGACCCGCGUCUGAUUAGGUAGUUGGUGGGGUAACGGCCUACCAAGCCGACGAUCAGUAGCCGACCUGAGAGGGUGACCGGCCACAUUGGGACUGAGACACGGCCCAA
Molecule: ribosomal RNA, 237 nt
Filed under: uncultured bacterium
Lineage: Bacteria
Description: partial 16S ribosomal RNA
Rfam family: Bacterial small subunit ribosomal RNA
Source: RNAcentral